Molecule: ribosomal RNA, 253 nt
Filed under: uncultured bacterium
Lineage: Bacteria
Description: partial 16S ribosomal RNA
Rfam family: Bacterial small subunit ribosomal RNA
Source: RNAcentral
UACGUAGGGUGCAAGCGUUAAUCGGAAUUACUGGGCGUAAAGCGUGCGCAGGCGGUUCGCUAAGACCGAUGGGAAAUCCCCGGGCUUAACCUGGGAACUGCGUUGGUGACUGGCGGGCUAGAGUAUGGCAGAGGGGGGUAGAAUUCCACGUGUAGCAGUGAAAUGCGUAGAGAUGUGGAGGAAUACCGAUGGCGAAGGCAGCCCCCUGGGCCAAUACUGACGCUCAUGCACGAAAGCGUGGGGAGCAAACAGG